Long non-coding RNA from Symphalangus syndactylus (siamang), 286 nucleotides. RefSeq lists it as uncharacterized. Lineage: Eukaryota; Metazoa; Chordata; Mammalia; Primates; Hylobatidae. The record is from RefSeq and is a predicted model, not a curated record.
CUCUGGGAUACUCUUCGCCUUGGAGUAGGAUCCUGAGAAGAGAGAACCGGAUGAGUUCGUGGGUGUGACCCGGGGCAUGACUGUAAGGAGGAACUAUGGAAUGCUAACUACAUGCCCGGCUCUAUGCUAGGCACAUUACAUCUGUGAUUUCACUGAUAUCUUUUAAGACACCUAAUGAGGGCAAUCCAGCCAAUCAUCUCUUUACGCUUCAUAGUACGCCUGUUAUAAACGGAAAUCAUCAACGUGACAUCAGACAGCUGAAAGAGGGCCACCUGGAAAACAAAGG